CGGCGCCCGCGGGACGUGGCCGUGGCCGCGCUCGCUGUCUUGUGGCUCCCGGUCCCGUGCUCCGUGCCGUGGUCGCGCCUUGGGGACGGGUGGUGCGGUGACGGGGUGAUGCGGUGACACCGUGACACGGUGACACGGUGACGUGGUGACAAGGUGAUGCAGUGGCGUGGCGGUGCGGUGGCGUGGUGACACGGUGACGCGGUGGCCAGCACGGCCUGGCAGGAGGUCUUGCAGGAGAGGGGCUGGGGACAGGGGGACACACGGGCAGGGCUGGGGACCUGUGCCGGCGGUGGCGCCCCGUUACCCAUGGGGACACGGCGUGGGGACGCUCCCGACGCGCUCCCCGUGGUGUGACACCGGUCACCCGUCUUUGUGCAAUGCCUUCCUCACUCCCCACAGCCUGCGUCCCCGCCUGUCCCCGCGUGUCCCCGCGUGUCCCCGUGCGUCCGUGUGUCCGAGCUAUGCAUUCCUGUGGACAGGUACCAUGUGGACUUGCGACGAGAGGGUUCGAUUGUGUUGCACAUUUUGUAGGAAAUGCACUUUUAAGAGGGAAUCUUAAAAAAAAAAAAAAAAGAAAGAAAAUGAAAGAAAGAAAACAAAAAAAAAAAAAAAAAAAAGGAAAAAAAAACAAAAAAAAAAAACACAAAAAAAAAAAAAAAAGACAAAUAAACUGCAUGGUGCUUUAACAGGAUCUCGUGACCUGGCUCAACCCAUCCGUGGAU
This 722-nucleotide long non-coding RNA is filed under the name Anas platyrhynchos platyrhynchos (common mallard). RNAcentral's name for it is "lncRNA (ENSAPLG00000027925.1)". Lineage: Eukaryota; Metazoa; Chordata; Aves; Anseriformes; Anatidae. The record is from RNAcentral.